RNAcentral lists this ribosomal RNA (393 nucleotides) under uncultured bacterium. RNAcentral describes it as "partial 16S ribosomal RNA". It matches the Rfam family "Bacterial small subunit ribosomal RNA", at positions 523 to 918 of the family's 1533-position model. The record is from RNAcentral.
AUACGGAGGAUGCGAGCGUUAUCCGGAUUUAUUGGGUUUAAAGGGUGCGUAGGCUGUGCGUUAAGUCAGGGGUGAAAUGCCGUCGCUCAACGACGGAGCUGCCCUUGAUACUGGCGUGCUGGAGUACGGAUGCCGUUGGAGGAAUGUGUGGUGUAGCGGUGAAAUGCUUAGAUAUCACUCAGAACACCGAUUGCGAAGGCAUCUGACGAAUCCGUCACUGACGCUGAGGCACGAAAGCGUGGGGAUAGAACAGGAUUAGAUACCCUGGUAUUCCACGCCGUAAACGAUGAUGACUAACCGUCGGCGAUAGACAGCCGGUGGCCAAGCGAAAGCGAUAAGUCAUCCACCUGGGGAGUACGUCGGCAACGAUGAAACUUAAAGGAAUGGACGGGG